GUUGGUUUCAAUGUUGUGGCUGAUUAGUGUAUCUCUACCAAUCAUUGUCAUGUCACAAACUGACCACUAGAUGGCUCCAUACAUCCAUUUUACAGUAAAAUGACACUUCAGUCUCUAAACAAGUGGUUCCCAGCAAUUUUCCGAUCAAGGUAUGCUUCGGUAAGGGAAAAAUUUCCAAGGCAACUUAAUGUCCUUUUUAUCUUCAUCUACGACUUACAAACUUCUCAUUUACUUAAAACCUUACCGGGUGGCCUACCGGGUGUAAGGGCUUACCUUGGUUGGAGUCCAUAGUGCAGAGAUGUAACCAGAUAAAAAGCCACCUGGGCUGUGAAUCUGUACACAGGGGCUUGGCAGGAACAAUAACCGGGUACGAGCAAACAGACAAGGGCAAAUCCAGGAGAGUAGUCAGGCAAGGUUUCAAAGGUCAUGAUCUUACCUGAUGUAGAGUCCGGUAUGCAGAGAUAUGUGCUCACCCUUGCAAAUAGACACAGGCCAAGGUGGUCAGGUAAGAAUUCACCUGGCCUGUGACUCUGUGCACGGGGCUGUGCAGGUCACAGUACAGGCAAGGACACAAGCAGGAGAAUUGUCGAGGGUAAGCCAAAAGUCAGAGGGUACCAGAAGUCAGGACACACGAUAAG
Pelobates cultripes (western spadefoot toad) is the source of this 638-nucleotide non-coding RNA. The record is from the annotation of a GenBank genome assembly. Lineage: Eukaryota; Metazoa; Chordata; Amphibia; Anura; Pelobatidae.